ACAGUUUUUUCGUCUAAUAUUUUCAUUUCCAAUUUUACCCUUACUUUUAUUCCAAAAUUUCGAUCGGUUUGCUUAUAUUUUUCUUUUGCUGACAAAUGUUUUGGUCUUUUUAUUUCCACCUCCGUGUUCCAAUGUCUUCGUCACAUCUAUGAACUUAUCACUUCUUCUUUGUUCUUGUUGCCUAUCUGACAUUCACACCCAUUUCUCACAAACCUCUCUCUCUCUCUCUCUCUCUCUCUCUCUCUCUCUCUCUCUCUCUCUCUCUCUCUCUCUCUCUCUCUCUCUCUCUCUCUCUCUCUCUCUCUCUCUCUCUCUCUUAUUCCUCUUCACCGCCACACCCUCGCCUCUAGCAAAGCAAAACAGAGACACCACCGCCUCCGUCAGUGAAGCACGGUCUCUCGCGUCGGAUCUUUGACCCGUGGUUUGAUCAUCCAUCCUCCUUUCCAACCUCAACCCCGCAUGCCUCAGGUCUCAGCCCGACGAAGACGAAGAUGGAGACAAAGGCAGAGAAAUACCAUCCUCCAUCUGAAUGAGAAAUAGAGGGGAAGGAGAAUAUUACUCCGAUUGGCUCAAAGAUCACAAUAAUUUCAACUUCGUGCCUUGUUUUUUAUGUAUUUGUUUAUCAUAACCAAUGUUUCAUUUGUUUGCUUAGGAAAGCCUAAUGGGUUUUUUAUUACUCUGCUUGAUUGAAGUGUUUGGUAGAGUUAAAAAUUUCCUGAAAUGUUUAAUUUUAAAUUGCUCUCACUGCCUUG
Long non-coding RNA from Carya illinoinensis, 752 nucleotides. RefSeq lists it as uncharacterized. The transcript has 2 exons. Lineage: Eukaryota; Viridiplantae; Streptophyta; Magnoliopsida; Fagales; Juglandaceae. The record is from RefSeq and is a predicted model, not a curated record.